UUACAAGACAAUAAUGGAACUCACAACAAGCUACAUGCAUUAAUUGUCACAGAGGCAGCACCAAAAAAUUAAAGAAAAUCUGGGUUUCAGAUACUCCUUACUUUGUAUAGGCAUACAACAUUUACCAAAACCUUUCAAAUUCCAUUACAGAAUGUUGUAGCUACGGUCUCUUCAAGGUUUCAAAUACAGAUAUAAAAAUACUGGCAUGCAAGCGAAAAUCUGGAAUGAGAUACUCCAAGAUUCAUCAUCAAUGAAAUUUAAGAA
This 264-nucleotide unclassified non-coding RNA is filed under the name Hevea brasiliensis (rubber tree). Lineage: Eukaryota; Viridiplantae; Streptophyta; Magnoliopsida; Malpighiales; Euphorbiaceae. The record is from RNAcentral.